Long non-coding RNA from Hemicordylus capensis (graceful crag lizard), 364 nucleotides. RefSeq lists it as uncharacterized. The transcript is spliced from 4 exons. The record is from RefSeq and is a predicted model, not a curated record. NCBI's taxonomy places the organism in Eukaryota, Metazoa, Chordata, Lepidosauria, Squamata, Cordylidae.
GCAGUACUAUAGUCUUCUGACACAUGAACAUUUUAUGUCCACAUUUACAAAGCAGCAGUGAUGAAACACUGACCAUCAGCUUAUACAGAAAGUUCCUACAUACUUCAGACCUCCCCUCUUCUCCUUCCAGAACUGCAGCAGUGAGUCUUCCCUCAGCAUCAGCUUCCUACGAGGAAGUGAGGUCCCAUCCUCUCCUUGCAUUACAUAAGCAGUGAUUCAGCAGACAGUAGCAACCUCUUCUCCAUGAUGAAGUGAUGGGAAGAGGAUGCAGAAAUAGCAACUUCCUCAAGGCUAACUAAUAAGAUUGUAUUUGCUACUUUGUGCCAUUGCAUACAAGAUCUGUCAAGCAAUGGCGAAGGCCCCC